Molecule: ribosomal RNA, 231 nt
Filed under: uncultured bacterium
Lineage: Bacteria
Description: partial 16S ribosomal RNA
Rfam family: Bacterial small subunit ribosomal RNA
Source: RNAcentral
CGGGGUGGAGUAAUGUCUGGGAAACUGCCUGAUGGAGGGGGGUAACUACUGGAAACGGUAGCUAAUACCGCAUAACGUCGCAAGACCAAAGUGGGGGACCGUUCGGGCCUCAUGCCAUCGGAUGUGCCCAGAUGGGAUUAGCUAGUAGGUGGGGUAACGGCUCACCUAGGCGACGAUCCCUAGCUGGUCUGAGAGGAUGACCAGCCACACUGGAACUGAGACACGGUCCAG